RNAcentral lists this ribosomal RNA (460 nucleotides) under uncultured bacterium. Its description in RNAcentral is "partial 16S ribosomal RNA". It matches the Rfam family "Bacterial small subunit ribosomal RNA", at positions 338 to 795 of the family's 1533-position model. The record is from RNAcentral.
CCUACGGGAGGCAGCAGUGAGGAAUAUUGGUCAAUGGACGAGAGUCUGAACCAGCCAAGUAGCGUGAAGGAUGACUGCCCUAUGGGUUGUAAACUUCUUUUAUAUGGGAAUAAAAUGUUCCACGUGUGGGAUUUUGUAUGUACCAUAUGAAUAAGGAUCGGCUAACUCCGUGCCAGCAGCCGGGGUUAUACGGAGGAGCCGAGCGUUAUCCGGAUUUAUUGGGUUUAAAGGGAGAGUAGGUGGAUUGUUAAGUCAGUUGUGAAAGUUUGCGGAUCAACCGUAAAAUUGCAGUUGAAACUGGCAGUCUUGAGUACAGUAGAGGUGGGCGGAAUUCGUGGUGUAGCGGUGAAAUGCUUAGAUAUCACGAAGAACUCCGAUUGCGAAGGCAGUUCACUGGACUGCAACUGACACUGAGGCUCGAAAGUGUGGGUAUCAAACAGGAUUAGAUACCCCGGUAGUC